Molecule: transfer RNA, 76 nt
Filed under: Verrucomicrobiaceae bacterium
Lineage: Bacteria; Pseudomonadati; Verrucomicrobiota; Verrucomicrobiia; Verrucomicrobiales; Verrucomicrobiaceae
Description: tRNA-Leu
Rfam family: tRNA
About the family: Transfer RNA (tRNA) molecules are approximately 80 nucleotides in length. Their secondary structure includes four short double-helical elements and three loops (D, anti-codon, and T loops).
Source: RNAcentral
GCCUGUGUAGUCCAGCAGCAGAGACAGCCGCUUCAAAAUCGGCCCAGCGUGGGUGCGAAUCCCACCGCAGGCACCA